UCUGAAGAACGUUUGGAAGCAACUAUUUAUUCACAGAAUUUACUAAAAAAUUACUGUAUGACCGUAUCUAAUCUGAGAUGUAAAGUUCAUUGCACCAGUGAAGUCACUAGUGGGAGCUGCAGAGUGAGAAGUAAUUCAGAGGCGAAGACAGAAAGCAAGAGGCAAGAGUAAGACGUGGAACUACAAUACUAGCUUUUAACAUUGCGAACCAGACAGGGUUGCAAAAAACAGCAUCCAGAGGCACAAACAACUAUCGCAAAAGAAAAGUCGUAAAUUUACAAGGACCAUAACCUUCUAUGGGGAAGGAAGAGGUAGAUCCGUUUCUAAAAGCAGAGAUGACGUCAAAAUCUGCUAUUUUCAACAGUAAGGUUUGAAGUUCUGUAAAAGAAGACUGACUGGUAAUGACAGAAGGACAACAUAUUUGAAAAAAUAAGCCUUAUACUGU
Polyodon spathula (Mississippi paddlefish) is the source of this 445-nucleotide long non-coding RNA. RefSeq lists it as uncharacterized. The record is from RefSeq and is a predicted model, not a curated record. Lineage: Eukaryota; Metazoa; Chordata; Actinopteri; Acipenseriformes; Polyodontidae. The transcript has 3 exons.